RNAcentral lists this long non-coding RNA (1894 nucleotides) under Citrus sinensis (sweet orange). RNAcentral's name for it is "long non-coding RNA (CSIN_LNC001292)". The record is from RNAcentral. Lineage: Eukaryota; Viridiplantae; Streptophyta; Magnoliopsida; Sapindales; Rutaceae.
CAAUUGCAAAUUAAAGGUUGGUUUUAUAAUAAAAAUCGUUUUGUGCAUACCAAAUUAGAAAAGAUUAUAAGUAAAUUAAGAUUUUCAAAAUUUGACUAGUAUUAUAUUACGUACAUCAAUAUAAUAUAAAUUUGUUAUAUUUAUAUAUGUUAUUCUGUAACUAAUGCUUUCAAAAAUUUUAUACUUGUAUGUUUGAACAACUUUUUUUCGCUUUCUAUUUAUAUACGAUAUUAUUUAUGUUUACAUAAAUUUUCAUAUGUACCCAAAUUAAGUAUUAAAUACACACACUCUGGUAAGACACAUUUCUAGUAUCAGACAAUGAUAUUAUAUUGAAUGUAAUGCUUCAAUGAAUUUUAUUACUAUAUACUAAAAUACUCAACGAUCUUCAUUAAAAAAAAAAAAAAGAAAUUGCAUGAUUAGAAUGAUUAAAGUUCAUUUAAUGACGAGUUUCAUCAUUGACUGUGUCGAAACAGAACAGCAAUCCACAAUACACUCAACACGAGAGGCGCACACAAGCAUGCAUGAAUCUUCCACCAUUAAACCUGAAAUCAUAAAAUGAAAGAAACAAGGUGAGUGUUGUUUUACGGUCUGAAAGCCGAUUCGAAAUAAUAAUAAUAAUAGACCUUUGUUAAUAGUUACUACUAGUGGUCACUGCCUUGUCCAUCUUCCUUCUCUGUAUUAUCGUCCUCUUCCAAGCCGCUGUCAUCUGACCAAACCCCAGCAACCAUGGGAAAAAUCACCUACUUGUUUUAGGAGCAGGAGCAGGAGCAGGAGGAGGAAAUUAAGUUAGGGAUUUGGAGUGAUAGGGAAAAAGCUGAUUGUUGAGAAAUAUAUAUACCUUUUGUAUGGUUGUGUUAAGGUCGCCCUUCCAAGCCCAACUUGCUUCACUCCGCCGCUGCACUUCGUGUAAUUUGGGUGUACUUAAAUUUCCUUCAGAGAAAAUCUUCAUAUCGGGGCAAUCAUCCACCACUAAUCUUUCCAAAGAUGGGAACUUGAAAGCACAAUUGCCAGAGCAGAAGCUUGUCAACGCGAGAGAUAGUUCUAAAGAUUGUUUUGAUAAGUUUUCAGAAAACAUGUGACGAAUCGUAGUAAAAAAUUUAUAUAUAAUAAUUGAAUGAGAUCCAUGGUUCACAAUUGCAAAUUAAAGGUUGGUUUUAUAAUAAAAAUCGUUUUGUACAUACCAAAUUAGAAAAGAUAAUAAGUAAAUUAAGAUUUUCAAAAUUUGACUAGUAUUAGAUUACGUACAUCAAUAUAAUAUAAAUUUCUUAUAUAUAUAUUUUACUCUGUAACCAAUGCUUUCAAAAACUUUGUACUUGUAUGUUUGAACAACUUUUUUCGCUUUCUAUUUAUAUACGAUCUCAUUUAUGUUUAUAUAAAUUUUCAUAUGUACCCAAAUUAAGCAUUAAAUAAACACACUUUGGUAAGACACAUUAAUUUCUAGUAUCAGACAAUGAUAUUAUAUUGAAUGUAAUGCUUCAAUGAAUUUUAUUACUAUAUACUAAAAUACUCAACGAUCUUCAUUAAAAUUAAAAAAAAAAAAGAAAUUGCAUGAUUAGAAUGAUUAAAGUUCAUUUAAUGACAAGUUUCAUCAUUGACUGUGUCGAAACACAACAGCAAUCCACAAUACACUUAACACGAGAGGCGCACACAAGCAUGAAUGAAUCUUCCACCAUUAAACCUGAAAUCAUAAAAUGAAAGAAACAAGGUGAGUGUUGUUUUACGGUCUGAAAGCCGAUUCGAAAUAAUAAUAAUAAUAGACCUCUGUUAAUAGUUACUACUAGUGGUCACUGCCUUGUCCAUCUUCCUUCUCUGUAUCAUCGUCCUCUUCCAAGCCGCUGUCAUCUGACCAAACCCCAGCAACCAUGGGAAAAAUCACCUACUUGUUUUAGGAGCA